This is an RNA transcript of Sphaerodactylus townsendi, 5585 nucleotides long. It is a transcript of the gene named cadherin 5, with no coding region annotated. NCBI's taxonomy places the organism in Eukaryota, Metazoa, Chordata, Lepidosauria, Squamata, Sphaerodactylidae. The transcript is spliced from 13 exons. The record is from RefSeq and is a predicted model, not a curated record.
AAGCUGAACACUCCCUGCCUUGCUCAGUUCAGGGAACUAACUUGAUUGCAUUUCGGUUCACUUGCCGUUCUGCUUUAUUCAGUCCGUGCUCGUGGCGUGCUAGCUGGAUACAAUCAACAGAGGCUCGCUUCCAUUUGGGAUUAAAACUGCACCAGGUGUCCCUAAAAGUUGCCAAAACUACAAUAUGGCCAGUUACCGUUUCCUUCUUCUGUUCUCUGUGAUGUUGGUACCAGCUUCUGUUUAUGGAGAAGGUUUCUCAGGGAUUGCAGCCACCGGCAAAGUUCACAAACGUUUCAGGAGAGAGUGGAUCUGGAAUAAGAUGCACAUUUCAGAAGAGAAGAACGAAACCCUGCCACAUCAUGUCGGGAGGAUCAUAUCAAGCAUUCAGAACCCCAAUGCUAUGUACUUGCUUGAGGGGGAUGGCGCCAACAGUAUAUUCAAAGUUGAUGAACAUACUGGAGACGUGUCUGCUUAUGAGAGGCUGGACCGAGAACAGAAAGCCGAGUAUCAGCUGAUGGCCCACAUUCUCGACCGAACGACCAAUAAGUCGUUGGAACCACCCUCCAAAUUCCGUAUCAUCGUCCAGGAUGUGAAUGACAAUGCCCCUAUAUUUGUUCAACGAGUGUUUAAUGGAUCUGUCUUGGAAAUGUCACCCGUAGGAACUUCAGUCACCACAGUGACAGCCGUAGAUGCCGACGACCCAACUCUUCUUGGCUAUGCCGACGUGGACUACAAAGUGAUUAAGGGUGAAAACUAUUUCAGAAUAGAUAAGUCAGGAGUCAUCCGUACAGCAGUAGCUAAUCUGGACCGAGAAAAGAAAGCUACCUAUGAAAUCGUGGUGCGGGCCAUCGACGGCAAAGGUCUACAGGCUGCAGAGUCGGGCACUGCUACAGUGCGCAUCACACUGAUUGACAUCAAUGACAACUCCCCAAUCUUUAAUCCAACAACAUACCAUUUUGAAGUACUUGAAAAUAUCACCUUAAAUGGUGAAGUGGGCAAACUGAAAGUUGAAGAUAUCGAUGAGCCUCAGAACAGAAACACAAAGUACAGUUUUGCUGGCGGAAACUUCCAAGACACUUUCCUGAUCAUACCAAAGCCAUAUACAAAUGAAGGAAUAAUUAAACCCAAGAAGCCCUUAGACUUUGAAAAAAUAUCCUCCUACCAGUUUCGUGUCGAAGCAACCGAUGGUGAUAUACCCUACUUCAAUUCCAAGACGAAAGGAUCCAAGAGUAUAGCAACCGUAAACAUCAGAGUUAUUGAUGUUGAUGAACCCCCCAUCUUUGAAAAGCCUUCAUACAUGUUUGAAGUGCUGGAAGACAGUGAUAUCAAAGUGCCCAUUGGACACGUUUCUGCAACUGACCCUGAUCGAGCAAAACGAGAAAUAAGGUAUCGUGUCUUAAGAUCCAACUAUUUCAAAAUAUCCAACAGUGGGUAUAUUUUUGCUGAGAGACCUCUAGACAGAGAAGAACAUUCCUGGCAUAAUAUAACGGUGGCAGCCAAUGAAAUAGAGCAUGGAAGAAUAUUAACCCAGUUAGAAACUCACGUCCAAGUUUACAUCAAAGUUCUUGACAGAAACGACAAUGCGCCAGAAUUCGCAGAACCGUAUCAACCAGGAGUCUGCGAGAAUGCCUCACCAGGAAAGGUGAUUAUCAGAAUUUCUGCUGUGGAUAAGGAUGAAAUGCUGCCUGGCAUGAAAUUCACAUAUUCUUUAACCUCUGAAGAAAGCAACUUCACUCUGAUUGACAAUCAUGAUAACACUGCGAACAUCACUGUCAAAUACGGAGAGUUUAAUCGGGAGCUAGUCAAAAUCCAUUACUUGCCUAUCAUCAUCUCUGACAAUGGCUCACCCAAGCAGAGCAGCACGAACACCCUCACCAUCCAGGUCUGUAAGUGUGACCAGGCUGGCAAGUUCACAUUUUGCGAAGAAGCAACGAAGCAAGUCGGAGUCAGCAUCCAAGUCCUGGUGGCCAUCUUUGUCUGCAUCCUCACCAUAUUUGUUAUUGUGUUGCUAAUAGUCCUCAGAAGGAGGCACAAGAAAGAUCUGAAUGUCCUCCGGAAGAACGUGGCUGAGAUCCAUGAACAACUGGUGGCCUAUGAUGAAGAAGGCGGUGGUGAAAUGGACACCACCAGUUACGAUGUGUCGAUCCUCAAUUCGGUCCGCCAAAGUGGUAUGACAUCACCGAGGAUGACUCAGGACCCCAGACCCUGUGUAUACUCCCAGGUUCAAAAGCCACCCAGACAUGGACAUGGACUUUCUGGCACUGGAGAAAUGGCCAUUAUGAUUGAAAUGAAAAAAGAUGAAGCUGACAAUGACGGGGAUUUGCUUCCAUAUGACACUCUUCACAUCUUUGGCUAUGAAGGGGCAGAGUCCAUUGCAGAAUCUCUAAGCUCUUUGGGAUCGGGCUCCUCCGACUCUGAUAUUGAUUAUGACUUCCUGAACGACUGGGGUCCAAGAUUUAAGAUGCUGGCAGAGCUUUAUGGACUGGAAGCCGAUGAAGAUUUUGCAUAUUGAGUUGGACUUCUGGCAGAUUGUCCGAAACUUAAGCCAUGAGCAAAGUACUGAGAGACUGCAAAUUCAUAAGGCAGCAACUACCAUAUUUUCAUGCAUUUUCAGAGCAGGUUUAUGUGACCAGGAUCAAAGAAACUGAAAUGAAAUCCCAUUGCAUGCUGGGAGAAGAAUGCAUUUCUCUUUACCUGGAAACAUAUUUAAUUUUUUAAAAGCAAGAAGCAUCUUUCUUCUUGUAUAAUGUCAGAGAUUUCCCUGACGUUCCCGGAUUUUUCAGUAUUCCAGGAGGUUUUGUUGCCAGUUUCAACCUAUCAUAAGAUUCAUCAUCAGACAAUUAUAUUACACAGGCAAGCUUUAUCUCCAUUUUCCUGACAGGAAAAUACAACUGAGAGCCUCACUACAUGUGGUGUUUUCUAUGUGACCUCCCUGAGUCAACAGCAAGGACUGAAAGUCAGAAAUUAACCAUGAUUUCCCCAUCAGGAAUACCCUCACACAUGGGAGUUCAAUUUGGAUUGGAUCCACAGCAUGCAGGGAGAUGCAGUUUCAGCCUUCCUUCACUAUGUUAUUUUCCCAACUUGAAACAGUCUUGGGGUACUAUUGUCCCAUCAAGGAAACCUUUGUGUAUCCCAUCAAUACAUAUGCAGCCCCUAAUGGAGGAAAUAACACCUCCUAUGAUCAUUUCAACUUAGGCCUUUUCCACAUAAGUUGGUUACAUUUCCAGUUUUGCCUCAGUUUUUCCGUGGAGUUCCACACAUUUCCCCCCCCCCCCCCCAUUUUGGUUCCAGAAACAUUUCCAACAAACUUUUGCUUCAUUGAUUGUGGUGGGUUUUCCAGGCUUUUUUGUGGUGGGUUUUUCUUCAACAAUACAUCUUGUUUCUGAAGACACUUUUACCGCCAUGUUUUUUCCUGAAACAUUUCCAAGCUAGCUUCCUUCACAGUGCAAUCAUACUGAAAUGAUUUUUUCCCCGCCAAAAAACCCUAACUGUUAUCCACAUCUCCCCUUUGACACUUGUGCCACCAUUUUUCUGUCCCUCACUUCACUGCUUCUCCCCUCUCCUCUUAUUUUAAUCAUUUCUUCUUUAUCCUCUCAAUUUGGGGGGAUCAUCAAAUCAGCGGUGCUAUGAAUAAUCGCUACUGCACAUGCAAAAAGAAAACAAAAAAAUGAUGGCAGCCAGGAAACAACAUUCUGAGGAGUGGAAUGCAGACAAACUUCACAGAAAAAUGAUGGGAUGGAAAACAACUUUGAAAUGGGGAAGUGUGGUGUACAGAAAAGGCCCUGGGAAAAUGGUGCAGUGCAGUGCAGAAGUCUGAAGCACAUUCUCUCCACAUUUCAGGGUCAUGAUUUGAAUUGCAAUACUACUUAGAAAUUGAGUUCCCAAGAAGGAACUUGGAGCUAUCUCUAGUUAGGUCUUGGGAGAUUUUGACACCCAUGGACUGCAACUUCAAGCAGUGAAUAGUAUGUGUGAAUCAGCCAUCACAGACCAAACUCCAAAGAACUGCAACAUCACAAGGGGCUCCCUGGCUCUCUUGGAUCAUGUGCCAAUCGAAAACACUGUCAUUGGACAAGCAUUUUCACAAGGGAAGCAUCUCAGCUAUGGCUUAAAUUAGCAUGCAUAUCAUAAAACCAAAGUUGGUUAUAACGCACUUUGGAGCUGACUUCCAAAUCCUGACCUCCAUUUACACCAUUCACAUGGGACACAAAUCUUGUGACGGAGAAGCUCAAAAGUAAAGUUAACUCUCAGGUGGGUCAUUUUUGAGCACUCCCCAAAACCAGACCAAAGGGAGUGUCACUGCCUCUUCUAACAUAUACAGGAAUCUUUGAUUCAAGUCAAAAGUUUUGUCAGACCGUUGACUAUGAAAAUUCAUAGUCCAAAAAUCUUGUUGGUUUUUAAAGUAGUACUGGACUCAAAAUUUAGCUGUGCUACUGCAGGCCAACAUGGCUACCCCUCUGAAACUAUCUACACAGGAACCUUGUGGCUCUUAAAAAAUUAUCCAGUGCAUUAUAGCAUUAUAAGUACCCAAAACAGCAGUAGCAUAUCAUGGGCUCUAGUCCACAAAAGCUUUGGCCACAAGAAAUCUGUUCCUCUUUAAGGUGCCACAAAACUAUUUUAGGUUGUUUUUGUGGCAGCUGACCAACUAUGCAAUUCUAAAGAGAGUUAUGCUUGUCUAAGGCUCAUAUUCCAUAUUUGUAACAUGAAGGGUCAGGGUUCCUUCAGUUUGACUGACAAUGGUCGAAUCCCCACUACCGUCUUAGCCAGGUUUCAGAACACAAACUAACCAGGUUUGAGGUCGUUUGUGUUCUGAAACCUGACUAAGACGGUAGUGGGGAUUCGACCAAUGAGGAGCUCAAAUUCAGAUUGAGGCUGUGGUGUGGGAAUAGGGCUUCCCAGUGUACUUAUGGCUAUACAUGCAGCUCCCUUGCAAGGCAGAUAAUUUCCCCUGGGAUCAUUUUGGAUCAGGAAAAUGUCACAUGGGAGAGGGUUUGGUCUAGAAGGGGGUAAUUUUGCUUGAUAGUGCAGUAAAGUGGCUAUCUUCUGAUAACGUGAGCCCCUUGGGUAUUGAUGGCAUUUUUAAGGAAACACGUCAUUUUGAGAACUGUGAUUCUCACCCUCACAAACAUUCAUGGUCUUAAAUAUGCAUUUCUGAUCUUUUAAAUCCAAAACCAUCAACUGGGCUACAAAGGGGCUCUUCAGGGAGGAAGGGGGGAAUUACCCAGGCCCAGGAUGUAAGCUUGAUCGUUCCAAAAGUCCCAUCAUGUUAAUAUACAGGUUGAACUUUUGUUUGUAUAAAAAAGUAGACUGACAAACACAGGUGAAGGAAUUCAGCUUUUGUGGUCUUUCGAAGUUAAGAUCAUCAUUAACUGUGAAACUGGAAUUUCUCUGCAAUCCUGAGAUGAGUUCGCCACCACGGCAGUCUAAGCUCAUGGAUAUGAAUAGGCUUGGACUUGUAAUAAUUCUGCCCAGGAGCAGCAGUGGCAUAGAGGUUAAGAGCUCGUGUAUCUAAUCUGGAGGAACUGGGUUUGAUUCCCCGCUCUGCCGCCUGAGCUGUGGAGGCUUAUCUGGAGAAUUCAGAUUAGCCU